CAGCAGCCGCGGUAAUGCGAAGGGUGCAAGCGUUAAUCGGAAUUACUGGGCGUAAAGCGUGCGUAGGCGGUGAGUUAAGUCUGCUGUGAAAUCCCCGGGCUCAACCUGGGAAUGGCAGUGGAUACUGGCUCGCUAGAGUGUGUCAGAGGAUGGUGGAAUUCCCGGUGUAGCGGUGAAAUGCGUAGAGAUCGGGAGGAACAUCAGUGGCGAAGGCGGCCAUCUGGGACAACACUGACGCUGAGGCACGAAAGCGUGGGGAGCAAACAGGAUUAGAUACCCCGGUAGUCCCUGUCUCUUAUAA
RNAcentral lists this ribosomal RNA (301 nucleotides) under uncultured bacterium. RNAcentral's name for it is "partial 16S ribosomal RNA". It matches the Rfam family "Bacterial small subunit ribosomal RNA", at positions 509 to 809 of the family's 1533-position model. The record is from RNAcentral.